UGGUUCUGGCAUCGAUGAAGAACGCAGCGAAAUGCGAUAAGUAAUGCGAAUUGCAGAAUCCGUGAGUCAUCGAAUCUUUGAACGCACAUUGCGCCCCUUGGUAUUCCGGGGGGCAUGCCUGUUCGAGCGUCAUUAUCACCCCUCAAGCCCGGCUUGCUGUUGGAAGCGGCGCUCACCCGCCCUUCCCAAAGAUAAUGACGGCGUCUGUGAGGACUCCUGUACACUGAGCUUUCGGGCACGUACUAGGCUAGAAGUCCAGACCCGGUCGACGUCCGACCCCGCGAGGGGACGGACAAACCACUUUUUACCAAGGUUGACCUCGGAUCAGGUAGGGAUACCCGCUGA
This 345-nucleotide unclassified non-coding RNA is filed under the name uncultured fungus. Its description in RNAcentral is "partial contains 5.8S ribosomal RNA and internal transcribed spacer 2". The stretch from base 1 to 132 matches the Rfam family "5.8S ribosomal RNA", at positions 22 to 154 of the family's 154-position model. The record is from RNAcentral. Lineage: Eukaryota; Fungi.